UACUCCUGCCGACCAAGAGCAACUCCUUUGUCAACUAAAAGAAGAAAAAGAGUACCAACUACUUUGAUAAUUGUACUUCUCCUUUUGCUUGAAGAGUAGAGAAUCUUGACAAAUCUGAAGUAUCAUUUUCAAUGGGAGAAGCUCAAGAGAAGCAACUCAAUAUUUCUCUUAAAGAAGAAGCUAAGGAAGCUGAUCAUACGGAGAAUAUUAAUGCAAAUGUUUUCCCUCAAUCGUGGUGCGCAAAAUAUAACAAGUGGAUUGAAAUAUUCUUCAAUAUAGUAUUGGUCCUGACUUGCCAAUCCGCUGCUACACUCCUUGGCGAACUUUACUACAGAGAGGGUGGUAAAACCACAUGGUUGGUUUCACUUCUGCAAAAUGGUGGAUUUCCAUUACUUCUCCCCAUUUAUUUCCUGAAUAAAAUUCCUAAAAAAUGUACUCCUACUAGUGAUGAUGAAAACAACACGAGCAGUGGUAUAUCUAUUUGGAAGUAAUUAUCGGUAUACGUCUUUCUGGGUACUUUAUUGGGUGGAUGUUGUAUGUUGAGUGCUGUGGGCCUGUUAUACCUUCCUGUUUCAACAUUUUCCCUUAUUAACACAACUCAAUUGGGGUUCAACACCUUGUUCUCAUUUUUCCUCAACUCUAAAAAAAUAACUACCUAUAUAGCCAAUUCUAUAUUCCUACUCACAAUCUCCUCUAUUCUUCUUGUGUUGCAACGUGAUGACUCCUCUUCAGGCCAUAACAAAGGCGGUAAACAUUAUAUAAUAGGGUUUAUAUGUAAGCUAUUUGCCUCAGCAGGUUAUGCAUUGUUGUUAUCAUUCACAGAGCGCGUAUUCAGGAACAUCAUUAAAAAACGCACAAUGAAAGAAGUAAUAAACUUAGUGAUUUGGCAAUCGUUUUUCGCCACUUUUGUCAUUCUCAUUGGCCUUUUCGCGAGCGGAGGAUGGAAAGGUCUUAAAACAGAGAUGCAGGAAUACAAGCUAGGGAAAUUGUCCUAUGUUAUGACAUUGGUAUGGAAUGCUUUGUGUUGGCAGAUUUAUACAAUUGUUGUUCUCAGCUUAAUUACGAAGGUAUCUGCCCUAUUUGCCAAUGUCAUUACUGCAUUGACUAUACCUCUUAUUCCAAUUCUUGCUGUUAUUAUAUUCCAUGAGAAGAUGAGUGGGGUGAAGGCUGUUUCCAUGAUUUUGGCCAUUUGGGGAUUUUUAUCUUAUGCUUAUCAGCAAUAUCUUGAUGAACUAAAGCUCAAAGCUGAUAUGUCAAAGGCCAAUGAAGAAUCUGAAGUUUCCCUUGUUGAACAAGGAUGAAUUGGGCCGAAGCUACGUUGAUCCAAGGGUGGUCAACUGAACAUCCUUCGCCGAAAAAUCAUACUACUACGUAUAAGGUAAAAUAUUACUGUUACUGAUUAAAAAUAGACUUUGAACACACUUGCAUAGCCAACUGGCAAAGGGUAUUCAAAAUUUGAACACUCUUAUUAAAUUUCCUAGCUUCGCCACUGAAUAUACGUAUACAAUUGAGAAAAUAUUUAAUUGCAGGCUGUUACUGCAGUGUUCUUGAAGCUUUAGUUUGUCCCUGAAAGUGGGUACACGGCCGCUUAAAUCUUAUAAGUGCUUAUAAAACUCUACAUGCAAACGUUGAGAAUCAUUAAUAUAUUAUCGUACACGUCAAUCUGAUGAUAGUAAAGACAAAUUAUGAAAAUAAAAUUGGAUUCUACUGGUUUCCAAAUCACAUGCUCUAUCGACUUGGUAAACGCGGAAAGGACAAAUUAAGUAAUUAAAAAAGGCUUCGCAGCCGUAGUAUCACUUUUAAAUCUUGUUUUUUUUAUUUGUAAACAAAAUCAUUAAGUGUAUUUUUUUCAAACCACGCUUAAUUUGCAUAUGAGGCCAUCUUUAUGACGAUGCCCUUCCUUUCGAGCAUUAUGUUAUUAGGUGUUUGUCCAGAUUUUCUUACCAUAAUUAGUUUUUCUAUUUUAUGACGGAAAGGACAACAUAUUUACCAUAAUUGGAUUUUUCUUUUUCAAUAAGGAAAAUAUAAUUCUUCCAUAUUUGGCU
Long non-coding RNA from Nicotiana attenuata, 2045 nucleotides. RefSeq lists it as uncharacterized. Lineage: Eukaryota; Viridiplantae; Streptophyta; Magnoliopsida; Solanales; Solanaceae. The transcript has 3 exons. The record is from RefSeq and is a predicted model, not a curated record.